UCGGACACCGCUGCCAUCGGGUCCCCCUUGUCAGAUCUAUCCCCAACCUCUGGAUUUUGCUCUCCCGUAGCCCCUGCCGCGCCAGCAAAACAGCGCCGCUCUCGCCAACACCACCGCGCUCUCCUCUACGUCGCGCCGCGCAGACCUGCAGAGGGCCUACCCCCGCUCGCAUCUCACUCUCCCGCGUGAUCUAGUCGCCUGUACGCAAAGCAGGUUGUGCCCUCAGUCCGAGCUCCUUCACUGCACCCGCUCGCCUUCCCCGCGGCAGAGGCCGAGCACCCCGAUGAUUUUUCCUCACUUUCAUCUACCACUUCCCCAACUCCCAUUCACGAUCUGAAGCCCCCGAAGCGAGGUUGGAAUCGAGCUACCGCCGCGCCGCCGUGUCGCCCUUCGCCGAUCUCCCUGACCGUUAAUUUCCAGCUCCCUGCACCAGAAAUCGAGAUCGCCGCCGUCUUCCCUCCCUGCGCAGCCACCGCGUCUCCCGCGCUCCGCUUUCUAUCACCGAGUGAGCAAAGAUGGCUACCGCACGCCGUCGGCUUGACCACCUGCAGGCCUCAACCAAUUCGGAGCCCACUGAAAAUGCUGGUGGUAUGGUUUUAGCUCAUGUAUCUGCGUCACCUCUCACUGUCAUCAGCAUGCCAUGUAUGCACCAUGGUGAGCAGCAUGGCAACCCACAUCUUCGCAUAUGCACCACAGUUCCAGUUUUUGCAUCCCCACUGCUGCGCCCCUGCCGGUCUUGUGAGUGACCACUGUGUAAGUCACAGUGAUGCCUUGCCAUGUUCUUCUGAAACUGGUUAACACUUCCAAAGAUAAGAACAUACACCAUCGACAUCUUUUGCAAAGCAUGGAGCUAGUAUAAUAAGGUUUUACUUCUGUGGGAUUUUGCGGCAAGCUGACACAUGGCACGGGGUAGAACUUAUCUGUUGUACGUGUUGUGCUUUUGGUUCUGAUGCAGUCUAACUGGGUAUUUCGUGAGCACCCACUGGUUCGAUCAUCUAACUCCCAGUCCUCGGAGGAUGUUGCAGAGAAGCCCUCCAUGCAAUUGCAGUGUGUAAUGCCAUAAGCAUUGCAUAUUGUGGAAGGUCCACAAAUUGCAUAGACAUCACAUAUUUCUUUUGGGUUGACACCGAUCAUCGUCCAAUCCUGGACUUCUCUUGCUCAUUGUCGACAAAUACUGUACUAACAAUAGCAUGGCCUGGGACUGUCAUCUCUGGAAUUGAGGCAAAGUAUUUGCCAUCCCAUACACCGCUCAACCAAUAUGGUAUGGAGGAGUUCAAUGGUGCAAGCCAGAAUUGUUUAACACUACCAGGGUCUAACUCAUCACAGUACAUGCCGGUAGCUGGGUCCAUCAAGUUUUUCCAAGAAAUAACACGCCGAUUUAGGCCGGUGACCUUGUCCCAUCCAAGCUUCAUCCCAGGGAAAAUUGUAUCUGUGGGGUGAUCAAAGCUCUGCCAGAGAACCUCUGACGAGUUUGAAGAGUUUGCCAGGAUGAGAUUUCCACUGCUUAACAACACUGCAGUGGUGUUACUUCUUGUGAUAUGUGCUUGUGUAGACCAGAUUAUGGACUUGGUGGAGCGAUUUAAGAUGACAAGGUUGCCAUCGUUGGAGAUUGUGAGCUCCAAUGAGGUGGUGUUCUUGAUUGGGUCAUCCCUAUUUGCGACCCAUGCUGAAGUGAAUUUUGGGACUGUAUUGAACCAUAUGCCAAGGUACCAGUUGGUAGUGCCUUCAAAGGAUUUACUGCGUGUUUUGAAGAAACCAAGCGCGUACCUGCCAUUCUUGGAGAUGAGCUUGUCGUUGAAGGCAAGUGCUUGGCCAGCCAAGAUGGUGUCCGUUGUGGCAGAAAUUGCUGGGAUGAGUAGGAAGAAGAGCAAGGUGAAAACUUCGAGGAGAUGCAUGAUGACCUGAAGAGGAGGAUGAGUUUGCAGUUGCAUAAAUUGCAAAUUUAGGAUGGGUGCUCCGUGGUGAUUGCAGGAAAUAAGCACGGUGGAGUCAACAGUCAAGCACGCGUGCACAACAGCCAAACUAAGUUGAACGAAAACCUAUUGCAGUGGUGAUGUAAAGUUGUCAACCGAGUAGGUGCCGUCUAGCCGCUGUUCUUGACUUACUGGGUAUGUGUGGUGGAGAAAAGAGGAUUAACGAAGAAAGUGUGGGAAUGAGCUCCACAGAAGGUAUUUGCAAACAAACAUAAUUAUCAAGUAUCAACACAGGAUCCAAAAGAUACUAGUGAGCUACCUGUGCUUUGCUACAUAGAAGAAAAACAAAUCUUACUACUAGUGUUUUUUUGUGGAAAAUAAAAUUCCGCAAGAAAAGGUAAUAAGUUAAUUCUUUGUAAAUAUGGCUCUUUGUUGCGGAUAAAAAUAACGUACACCUUUGGCUUUGUCGUGUCC
Long non-coding RNA from Brachypodium distachyon (stiff brome), 2387 nucleotides. RefSeq lists it as uncharacterized. The record is from RefSeq and is a predicted model, not a curated record. The transcript is spliced from 6 exons. NCBI's taxonomy places the organism in Eukaryota, Viridiplantae, Streptophyta, Magnoliopsida, Poales, Poaceae.